CCUACGGGUGGCAGCAGUGAGGAAUAUUGGUCAAUGGGCGGAAGCCUGAACCAGCCAUGUAGCGUGCAGGAUGACGGCCCUACGGGUUGUAAACUUCUUUUAUACGGGAAUAACGCGCCUUACGUGUAGGUCUUUGCAUGUACCGUAUGAAUAAGGACCGGCUAAUUCCGUGCCAGCAGCCGCGGUAAUACGGAAGGUCCGGGCGUUAUCCGGAUUUAUUGGGUUUAAAGGGAGCGUAGGCCGGAUGUCAAGCGUGCUGUGAAAUGUCCGGGCUCAACCCGGGCCUUGCAGCGCGAACUGGCGUGCUUGAGUGCGCGGAAAGCAGGCGGAAUGCGUGGUGUAGCGGUGAAAUGCUUAGAUAUGACGAAGAACCCCGAUUGCGAAGGCAGCUUGCUGCAGCGGAACUGACGCUGAUGCUCGAAAGCGCGGGUAUCGAACAGGAUUAGAUACCCCGGUAGUC
RNAcentral lists this ribosomal RNA (460 nucleotides) under uncultured bacterium. Its description in RNAcentral is "partial 16S ribosomal RNA". It matches the Rfam family "Bacterial small subunit ribosomal RNA", at positions 338 to 795 of the family's 1533-position model. The record is from RNAcentral.